RNAcentral lists this ribosomal RNA (599 nucleotides) under uncultured bacterium. RNAcentral describes it as "bacterial SSU rRNA". It matches the Rfam family "Bacterial small subunit ribosomal RNA", at positions 331 to 929 of the family's 1533-position model. The record is from RNAcentral.
CCAGACUCCUACGGGAGGCAGCAGUGAGGAAUAUUGGUCAAUGGGCGGAAGCCUGAACCAGCCAAGUAGCGUGCAGGAUGACGGCCCUACGGGUUGUAAACUGCUUUUAUGCGGGGAUAAAGUGAGGGACGUGUCCUUCAUUGCAGGUACCGCAUGAAUAAGGACCGGCUAAUUCCGUGCCAGCAGCCGCGGUAAUACGGAAGGUCCGGGCGUUAUCCGGAUUUAUUGGGUUUAAAGGGAGCGUAGGCCGUGGAUUAAGCGUGUUGUGAAAUGCAGGUGCUCAACGUCUGCACUGCAGCGCGAACUGGUCCACUUGAGUGUGCGCAACGCAGGCGGAAUUCGUCGUGUAGCGGUGAAAUGCUUAGAUAUGACGAAGAACUCCGAUUGCGAAGGCAGCUUGCGGGAGCACAACUGACGCUGAAGCUCGAAAGUGCGGGUAUCGAACAGGAUUAGAUACCCUGGUAGUCCGCACGGUAAACGAUGGAUGCCCGUUGUCAGGCUGUUUCAGCCUGGUGACCAAGCGAAAGCAUUAAGCAUCCCACCUGGGGAGUACGCCGGCAACGGUGAAACUCAAAGGAAUUGACGGGGGCCCGCACAAG